This 494-nucleotide ribosomal RNA is filed under the name uncultured bacterium. RNAcentral describes it as "partial 16S ribosomal RNA". It matches the Rfam family "Bacterial small subunit ribosomal RNA", at positions 28 to 507 of the family's 1533-position model. The record is from RNAcentral.
GACGAACGCUGGCGGCGCGCUUAACACAUGCAAGUCGAACGGAAAGGCCUGCUUUCCCUUGUGGAUUGCGGGUACUCGAGUGGCGAACGGGUGAGUAACACGUGAGUGAUCUGCCCCCAACUUGGGUAUAAGCCUGGGAAACUGGGUCUAAUUCCCGAUAGGACUGCAGGGUGGUGCCUGUGGUGGAAAACGAUUUUCUAGUGGUUGGGGAUGAGCUCGCGGCCUAUCAGCUUGUUGGUGGGGUAAUGGCCUACCAAGGCGGCGACGGGUAGCCGGCCUGAGAGGGUGGACGGGCACAUUGGGACUGAGAUACGGCCCAGACUCCUGCGGGAGGCAGCAGUGGGGAAUAUUGCACAAUGGGCGGAAGCCUGAUGCAGCGACGCCGCGUGGGGGAUGACGGCCUUCGGGUUGUAAACUCCUUUGGACCGCGAGGAAGCCACCUGGUUGGAAGGGUGGUGACGGUAGUGGUAGAAGAAGCACCGGCUAACUACGUG